Molecule: ribosomal RNA, 164 nt
Filed under: Gentiana dahurica
Lineage: Eukaryota; Viridiplantae; Streptophyta; Magnoliopsida; Gentianales; Gentianaceae
Description: 5.8S ribosomal RNA
Rfam family: 5.8S ribosomal RNA
About the family: 5.8S ribosomal RNA (5.8S rRNA) is a component of the large subunit of the eukaryotic ribosome. It is transcribed by RNA polymerase I as part of the 45S precursor that also contains 18S and 28S rRNA. Functionally, it is thought that 5.8S rRNA may be involved in ribosome translocation.
Source: RNAcentral
AAAACGACUCUCGGCAACGGAUAUCUCGGCUCUCGCAUCGAUGAAGAACGUAGCGAACUGCGAUACUUGGUGUGAAUUGCAGAAUCCCGUGAACCAUCGGGUCUUUGAACGCAAGUUGCGCCCGAAGCCAUUAGGCCGAGGGCACGUCUGCCUGGGCGUCACGC